Molecule: ribosomal RNA, 433 nt
Filed under: uncultured bacterium
Lineage: Bacteria
Description: partial 16S ribosomal RNA
Rfam family: Bacterial small subunit ribosomal RNA
Source: RNAcentral
AACGAACGCUGGCGGCAUGCCUAACACAUGCAAGUCGAACGAGACCUUCGGGUCUAGUGGCGCACGGGUGCGUAACGCGUGGGAAUCUGCCCUUCGGUUGGGAAUAACUGAGAGAAAUUUCAGCUAAUACCUUAUAAUGUCUUCGGACCAAAGAUUUAUCGCCGAGGGAUGAGCCCGCGUAGGAUUAGGUAGUUGGUGGGGUAAUGGCCUACCACGCCGACGAUCCUUAGCUGGUCUGAGAGGAUGAUCAGCCACACUGGGACUGAGACGCGGCCCAGACUCCUACGGGAGGCAGCAGUGGGGAAUAUUGGACAAUGGGCGAAGGCCUGAUCCAGCAAUGCCGCGUGAGUGAUGAAGGCCUUAGGGUUGUAAAGCUCUUUUACCCGGGAUGAUAAUGACAGUACCGGGAGAAUAAGCUCCGGCUAACUCCGUG